GGAAUGAAAGCGAGUGAUUACAAUAUACCAAAAAAGACGACACUUUUGUUGAUUGGUCCAAGAGGAUCUGGUAAAAGCAGUCUUGUAAACAAGAUCUCCAGAGUGUUUGAUGAUGAUCCUUUUACACCAGAAAGAGCUCAAGUAUCGUAUUCUUCUGAUGGAGAUGGGACAUAUUUCCUCCAUGAGUACACGAUGCCAAAAGGUUCAAGUUCUUUCUGUUUGUAUGACACACGUGGUCUGUCGGAUGAUUUGAAUGAAAAUAUUAAAAUUGUGGACCGCUGGAUGAAAAAGGGGGUUCGUCAUGGGAAGCUAAUAACCAGGGAUUCUGAUGAUGCAAAUCCGAAGUCUAAAGUUCGCCGAAAUAGAUACUGUGCCAGUGAGACCAAUGUGGUUAAUUGUGUCAUAUUUGUUGUCAGUGCGGUCCAAAUUCUACAAUCGAUGGACAGCGAUGAUGAAACAAAAAGGCAACAAACUCGAGCUGUUGCUUCAAAUUUCAACUACCCUCUCUUGUCAUUCAAAGAUGAAAAACCUAUUGUUGUGCUCACACAUGGUGAUUUACUUUCACUUUCGGAUCGUACGCGCAUCCGCAUGCAUUUGGGACAGCUGCUGGGUAUUCAUCCCAAGAAA
This 627-nucleotide unclassified non-coding RNA is filed under the name Hevea brasiliensis (rubber tree). Lineage: Eukaryota; Viridiplantae; Streptophyta; Magnoliopsida; Malpighiales; Euphorbiaceae. The record is from RNAcentral.